This 37315-nucleotide long non-coding RNA is filed under the name Lathyrus oleraceus (garden pea). RNAcentral describes it as "Pisum sativum (pea) long non-coding RNA (PSAT_LNC030787)". The record is from RNAcentral. Lineage: Eukaryota; Viridiplantae; Streptophyta; Magnoliopsida; Fabales; Fabaceae.
AUAAUAAUAAUAAUAAUAAUAAUAAUAAUAAUAAUAAUAAUAAUAAUAAAUGAAAAAUGGGGCGAUGCAUGUAUUUCUACAAGCUUCCUGAUCAACACACCAAAAACAAGUCAAUAUUAACCUCAUAUUUUCUAAGUUUAAAAACAACCAAUAAUGUGGUAAUAUGUGGCCAUAAUAAUAUUUAAAAUAAAAUAAAAACAUAAAUCUCUCUUCACCAUCACACAUCUUCUUCAUGACAAAACUAACCUUUCUUCUUCAUGAAAUUUUUGUGAGCAAUAUCUAUUUUUCAAACUUAAAAAAAUAAACUGCCUUCUUCAUGAAACUUAAAGCAACACAACAAGUGAAAUGUAUAAAUCUUGAUUUUCAAUCAAAGUACAAAUCAAAACUUAAAACAAAUCAAACUUUCAUUUUUCAGAAAAACAAACUUGAGACAACAAACAUCGACCUUCACCCAUUCACAACAACGAAAGCGAAACUUAACAAAGUCAGAAAUCGAAGGAAAGAAGUGGUAUAACAUGCCUUUCGUCAGAGCUGUACGGAAUUGAUGAGUAGGCGUCGAAGAGCUCGUUGAGUCGGCGUCUAGGUGCCGUAGUUGUUGUUUGUUGUAGUGAUCGGUCGGUGAACGUCGCCGACUUAGAUGUUUGGAGCGACAGAAGGAGUAUUAUAGUAGUGUUGAUGGUUUGUUCUAUGUGGUUUGAUGAAGAUAUUGAGUUGUUGUUGAAGCUUUCAUGAGAUUUGUUGUUGUUUUAAUGGAUUUAGAGGUGAUGGAUAAUGGUGGUUUUAUGAAAUUUUCUUGUAGCAAGGUUUUUUAUAGUUGUUUAGAGAUGAAGAUGGUGAUGAAGAGUAAGUUGUAAUGGUGAUUUUUAUGAUGAGCUAUUGAUGGUGGUGUUUUCUUGAGAGUGAGAAGGAAAUGUGAUGGGUGUUUGCACCAUGUAUUAGUGCAUGAAAGAAGAAAAAACGUGUGUCUUUCAAUUUAAGAGGAAAGAGUUUAUUCUAUUUUCUUUUUAUUGUGGCCCGCGUGUCGCUUCUUCACCGGAGGGAGAUCAUUUAUUUUUUUCUUGAAACAAAUAUUUGCUAUGCUUCCACAUCUCCAUUUCCCUUACCAUUCAUUCUCUAUUGCAAUUGGUAAAAGAUAUCUUCAUGUAACCAAAGAAAUAACGCCACAUGGCACUGAAAGAGAGAGGAUUUUAUCCAAUCUUUUUACUUGAUUUUGGAAUUUAAAAAAUAAAUCUAUCUAAUGAAAUAAAAAUUAAAAGAACAAAUAAAAAAAACAAACUAGGUACUUAAAUAAAUUCUAAUUUAUUCUACUAAUUAUAUUUACUAAAAAAUAAAAAUAAUCAGAUAAAAAAAAAUUCGGGCAAAAAAAUGUUCGAAAAAAUAAAUUAACUGCACCAAAAUUAUCAGCGCGAAAUACACUAUUCGAAAACAUAUAUGUUUUGAUCGAAAUUUUGAAAUAAAAAUUGACCGGUUAAAAGACUCAGGUUGAUCAGAACGCGAUCGAAAAAGUAGUCAAAAAAUUAAAACGAGCAUACUAGGUUAAACUACGCGGAACGUAGAUUAAUAAAACUGACAUCUGCAAGCUCAAAUUUGAAAAUUUCCGCCCGCUAAUUCGUCAUUCAAUUGAGAAACUAUUCGAUCGGUCUCUCUGUAGAUCCGAAAAAUUUAUCUGGCCGAUAUUUCAAGUGUUAUGUGAAACAAAAUGCAUGAUAUGACAAGUAUAAAAAUGUAAACGUCUUCUAAAUGCACUGAAUUUCUAAUUGAAUAAUCGUAAAUGGAUAAUCAUAUGCAAAUGAAUCGCCCUUGGACCAUUUACUUUUGAUUCUCCAUCACAAAUAAAACAUUUCAAAGAUUCAGAUGACGACAAAACUCUUGAUUGUCAUCCUCUGAACCUUUGAAAACACGAUGCAAUGGAAUGAACGAUGCUAUGAGAUUGAGAAAUCAAGUCUUUCGACUUCUUAAUCAAUAGAUAACUGAAUGAAUGUCAUCAAGACCAAUAAACUGCCAAAACUCCAAACUUUUUAUCUAAACCCCAAUGAAUGCUUUUAACUGAUGAAAAUGUAUGACAAAAAUGGAUAAAUUUAUGCUAUGUUUAUGCGAGUGAAAACUCAUGGUAAAAUUUAGGGUAUGCCACAACACACACUCUAUCAUACGCACAUGCUAUUAGGUGACCCAUGUCAAGGAAGCACAUCCAUUUUGCCUCUGGUGCCGGACCGCUAAGGCAAGGAACAAGAGACUCGUAAACUUCAUCGAAUGUUUCUUUCUUUCCGUACAACUGUGUGCAUGAUUCUUUAUACGUCAUGAACUAUUGGAUAAGUUGAUGGAAGACAAGUGUAUGAUUAUCUUCUCAUUUACCGAGUAAAUUCGAAAUUGUUCGAUAACUACAAUUACUACCCCCCGUAACAUUGACGAUUCACUCGAUGUAUUUGUGCAUAAAAACGGGCACCUCGUCGAUGAAUGGAAUUUUUUGUGGAGGCGGCGUAUGAGGUGGUUUGCUAAUGCGAGGUCCUUUGAAAACACUUUUUUGAAAUUUUGGAGUUGGUAAGUCGGGAAAAACUUUGUCAACAUGUUCAAAAAAUGAAGGAGAUCGUGUAGUCGAAUUGUCAUUCAGUGUUGGCUUCAUUUUCUUCGGAGCACCUUUUGUUUUUACCGGUUGAGAUGGUGGUUUCAUGUCGAUGCUUUCCGGAUAGGCAAUCUUCCUCAAUUGUUCUUUGAUGUGGAGUUUCAAGUUGUCACCGACUUUCAAAAGUCUCUCUUGUAUCACUUCUCAUUCGGUCAUAAUAGAGAUAUUCGAUUUACCGUCAUUCAUGACACGAUCAUCAUCAAAUGAGUGCAAACCUCAUCCACUGUUAUUAGGCUACCAAGUUUCACCUUUUUUGCAACAACACAAGCACAUGAGAGACCAUAUGUUUUCACAAUUGUGCAUGCACACUUUGCACUAUCAGAGCCUACAUAUCAGCUCGUUUAGCCUCAUGAAAAGUAUAAUUCAAACCCGCACGAGAAAUGUUAUCGACCAACUGAGAAUAAAGAGUGUUGUCUUUAAAUUUGUAUUCCAAAACUGUGAUGCUCCGAACAAAUGAUGUGUGUAUCUCAUUAUACUGGUUUUGAAUCAUGUGGUACACAUAGUCUCAAUCUCUACACAAACCGCCCUUACUAUUUCCCAACCAAUUUUUCAAAGUAGCAUGGGCAGACUCAACUCUGUUAGUUAUUGUAUUUCUAAGGUGUCUAACAUUAUCAAUCCAUGCACAAACAAUUUUCUUCUUUACCUGGUCAAGAAUUGUGCUUUCAACAUAUUUCAACAAAUCCGGAUACUUUUCAUACACUUUCCUGAAAUGCAUAACAGAAGCGACAUAUAGUUCUUUUAUGAAAGAAAUUAUUAUACGAUUCCAUGCAUCAAUUAUUUUUUCCACAACCAGACCCUCCUUCCCCAUUUUCCCAUCUUCAGACUCUAUUUGAUUCGUCCCUAUGUUAUGUGAUACCUACAAAGUAAUGAAUUAGAGGAAGAAAAUACCUUUACAACCGAUUUCAUCAAGACGGUAUCGCUGUCGGUAACAAUCACUUUAUGCAUCUUACCUUGGUCUUUCAAUAGUGUCUGACACACCUCUAAGGCCUAAGUAAAAUUGUCUUAUUUUUCACACUCAAGAAAUACAAACCCAACUGAAUAUCUCUUCUUAGUUGAUGUAACACCAACCAUCUCCAAUAAUGGAAGUCUAUACUUGUUGGGUUUGUAGGUUGAAUCAAGUAUGAGCAUGGUAGGAAACGUACUGAGCAACUUUAUGGAAUCAGGAUGAGUCCAAAAUAUAUCUCUAACAAUAACUUCAUCCUCGCAAGUUUGGUACCUAGACACGUAAUCGUUAUCAUCCAACAAUUUCAAGAGUUGUUGCAUUUCAAUUAUACCCCCUUAAGCGCCUUGUUAGUUUGAUACCGAAUAUUAUACACUUGCUUGAUAUUUGAUAUAUUUUCGGGUCUUUUCCGUUUCAAUAUUGCAAGUAUAUUUUUCGGUUGAAUCAAAUUCAAUGUCAUGUCAGCAACACAUCCUUUCUCUUUCGGCAUGAGCCGACACACACUAGGAUGACUGGCUAAUUUUUCACAAAAUCAUGGUUAUGCAAACCACAUAUGACAUUAAAUCUCCAGUUUUUAUUUUCCAACAUGUAACCACGCACCUUAAACAAACAUUCACAUUUUCUUGAACCGGUGCCGUCUCUUUUAAAAAUAUGGAGUGGAGUUCUAUAUCUCCAGCUUCUUUCGCACGUCAUUAUCACAAAAGUGCACCUUCUAUCUGAACCGUUAUCGGGCCUUCCAAUAGCCACACUAAAUCAAAGUUUAGAGACCUACAUAUGAAUCCAUUGAAGCAUUUGAUCACAAGAUUCAAACUCUUGCUCAUUUUUAAAUUGGUUCCCAACAUAUACCGCCCUCACAACAACACCUUGGACAUUCGGAGAAACAACUUGUUUUGAGAAAACAUCGGGGUGCACCAUAUCUAAAGAAAAUAAUUACAACAUAUACGCGCCACUGCUGAAAACAAAGUUGGAAAGUGAACACAAAUUAGUUCCAGAAAUGCAUCUCUGAAAAUGUUCAUACUCGUUCUGGAGAUACAUUUUCGGACACAACGCUCAUUUUUUCAAACAAAAUACAUGAUUAAUAUGAGAAAUGCAGUGUGAAAUAAAUGAUCUUUACAUGAAAUUAUAACUUCUUUUGCUCCCUUUGAUAUGAUGAACCACAAGUUUAGAGAUUUGGAGUGAAAAAAUAGAUUGAGAAUGGAAAGGUUUUUGGUAAGGGUUUGUAGAGAAAAACAACAAUGACAAUAAUGGUUGUGUGAUCAUGCAACUGUUUUUUUAUCAGAUUAUUCCGGAGAUGCAUCUCCAGAAAUAUCUCACAUGAAAAGGUGACAAAAUAUUUCAAAAUCCCAUCCAAACUUCCGAAGAUGUAGCUCCAUAAAUUCUACUGAACUGAUCAAUUAUGAAUAUAUUUCUUGAAAUGUUCUGGAGAUGCAUCUCCGGAAUAAAAAUAACCCAACUUAUAGGGCGCCACUCAUAAUGGUGUGUGUGUGUGUAUGUGUGUGUGUGUGUGUGUGUGUGUGUUGUGUAACACCCUUCUAAAAUACCCCAAAUAUUUAAUUAAAAUAACAACAUAUAUCAAUCAGAGUAGAUAUGCAAUUACGGGUGUCACACAAUUACUUCACAACUUGAGUUUGGUGUGUGAGAGAUCACAUAGUGUCAAAUUGGGAAUGUGAAACUAACAAGUGGUAUUUGGAUGAGAUCAGAGAGGUCAGAAAUCUGAUGUGCUUUUGGUUGAUAAGUUGACUUUAGUGAAUCAAGGUCAAGGUGGUGAAUUCAGAGUUGAUGAGAAUGGUAUUUUGAAAUUUGGUAAUCGGGUGUGUAUUCCGGAUGUUGCGAGCUUAAGAAGAGUAUUCUUGAAGAAGGACAUCGUAGUGGUUUGAGUAUUCAUCCUGGAGCUACGAAGAUGUAUCAAUGAUUUGAAGAAGUUGUUUGGUGGCGGGAAUGAAAAGAGAAAUUGCGAGUUUUUGUUUAUUCCUGUUUGACUUGUCAGAAAUCAAAGAUUGAGCAUCAGAAGCCGUCUGGGCUAAUGCAACCGUUGGCUAUUCCAGAGUGGAAGUGGACAGUAUCAGUAUGGAUUUUGUUUGGGUUUACCGAGAACAAGUUAAGAAUUUUGAGGCUAUUUGGGUGAUUGUGGAUAGAUUGACAAAAUCGGCUCAUUUCAUUCCGAUCAGAAUGGAUUAUCCGUUGGAGAGGUUAGCUGAAUUGUAUAUUGAGAAGAUUGUAAGUCUACAUGGUAUCCCGUCGAGUAUUGUUUCGGACAGAGAUCCUAGAUUUACAUCGAGUUUUGGGAAGUUUGCAGAGGCUUUGGGAACUAAGUUGAGAUUAGUCUGCAUAUCAUCCGCAGACUGAUGGUCAGACUGAGAGGACGAUUCAGUCAUUAGAGGAUCUUUUGAGACUGUGUUUUGGAAAGGGAGUGCUUGGGAUUGUUAUUUACCUUUGGUUGAGUUUACUACAACAAUAGUUUUCAUUCGAGUAUUGGUAUGGCACCGUUUGAAGCUUGUGUAUGGUAGGAGAUGUCGACACUUUAUGUUGGUAUGAGUCCGGUGAGAGUGCUGUGGUUGGACCAGAGAUUGUCAACAGACUACUGAAAAGAUUAAGAUGAUUCAGGAUAGAUGAGAAUGCUCAGAGUCGUCAGAAGAGUUAUCAUGAUAGAGGAGAAAGUCCUUGAGUCCAAGAGGAGAUCAUGUGUUUCUUCGUGUACUCCGAUAACUGGUGUUGGUCGAGCCUGAAGUCAAAGAAGCUGACUCCUCGAUUUAUUGGUCCUUAUCAGAUUUUGGAGAGGUAGGGGAGGUAGCCUAUCGUAUCGCUUUACCGCCGUCACUUGCGAAUUGCAUGAUGUUUUUCAUGUGUCUCAUUGAGGAGAUACGUUCAUGAUCCGUCGCAUGUAGUCCAAGUAGAUGAUGUACAGGUGAGAGAUAACCUGACUGUUGAAACAUCACCUAUGAGGAUUGAAGAUCGAGAGUUGAAGCAGUUGCGGGGGUAAAGAGAUUGCCUUAGUGAAGUAGCUUGGGAAGGACCAGCAGGUGGCAAUGUGACUUGGGAACUUGAGAGUCAGAUGAAGGAACUUAUCCAGAGUUGUUCGCUUGAGGUAUGGUUCGAGACGAAAACUCUUUUAGUGGGGAGAGUUGUAACACCCCAAUUAAAAUAAGAUAUUAUUUAAUUUAAAUUAAUAUUUUUUUAUUAAUUUAAUUGAAUAAUUGGAAAUUUGGAUUAUUAUUAUUAUUAUUUUGGAAUAAUAAUUAUUGGAAUAAUUAUUUAUUGGAAUAUAUAAGUUGAAAUAAAAGUCCCAAUUUGGAAAAAAGGUUUUCACGUGAAAAGGAAAAGAGAAGCGGCUGAAAGAGAGAGAAGGGCAAAAGGCAGAGCAAGAGAAGAGGAAAAGCUUGAAGCUGCAGAAUUGCCGGAUUAACUCAGUAAGGGGGUUAUCAUCGGUUAAAGGUAUAUGAUAAUAUGUACUGGUAGUGAUAACCAUUGUUUUACCUCUGAUUAGAUGGAUGCAUGAUGAAUUGUGAAAUAUUGGAUGAAUGAAAUUGGAUGAUAAUUGAAAGGUUUGGUAGGAAUUGGAUGUAAAGUGUUAGAUUUGUGUAAUCGAAUAAGAUAGGAAUUGUGUGGAAAAUAUGGACGAUUAUUUGGUGUAAAUUGGACUGUAGAAGGUUGGAUCGGAUAGGUUUCGUAAUAGAGAAAGUCAUUUGCAGAUCUGGAAAUCUGGUUCUAUAGCAGAGGGUUCUGUUUGCGCGCGAUUCACGCGCGAAGCCAGUGCCGCGAACUGGCAAAUCCAGAGGGUUCUGUAACGCACCGUUCGCGGCGCGAACCCUGCUGCGGCGCCAACUGUGCUGUGCAGAGUUGAUGUUGGAUGGUGAAUUCCUGUGUGGUGGUGAUGCAGUUUUGGCUGUCUAGGCUGAAUGAUGUGACUUAGCUGAGGACCGAUGUAAAGGGAUCAUUUCCCGUUGUUUGAGUGGCAUAGUAUUAGUAGGGUGUGCUAAUACUAUGAUUAAUUUAUGCAUGAUAUGAUAGCUUUCGUGAUGAAAUGUGUUGAUGAUAUGUGAUGGUAUGCAUAAUGCUGUGAAUGUAUCGGUGAUGUAUGCAUAUUAAUAGACUGUUGUAUGGCUUAGAGUGUGAGCAUGUGUCUAUUCUUGAAUUGUUGUUUGUUGUUGCCUUGCUAGAUGAUUAGCGCAUGGCAUAGCCUGUGGGGCUGUAGCUAAUUCCCAUUGUGAGGAAUUAGUGAGUAAAAUAUGGUGGAGUUGUUGUUGAUGUUUGCAUACUAGAUGAGUAGUGUGCAUAGUCUAGCCUUUGGGCUGUAGCUAAUUCCAUGGUGAGGAAUUAGUGAGUGAGUCAUUAGAUCUCAAUGAGUGGGACUAGUGAGCUCAGUAGCCGUAUCCGAGGGAUCGGUGAGCUUGGACUAUAUGUUCAAGAAGAGUUGUACCGCAUUUCAUGGAGUCUCAUUGCAUAAUGAAUGCAGCAUAGCCUGUGGGGCUGUAGCUAUUCCAUUGUGAGAAUUAGUGAGUAAAUCGUUGUGUUGUGUUGUUGGUGUUGAAUAUGGUUUGAGACUAUACAUAGAUAUAUAUUAUUGUUGAGUAUAAUGUUUGCGUUGAUACUGCCGUUAUGGAGUGUGUAGUCUGGUUAGGGUGAUUUGAUGCGUUAUUUACUUAACAUUACAUAAUGUUGUAUAAUGCUUAUUAUAUGAUUGGGAACUCACUUACAACUAUGUUUUUCAGUAACAGCAGUGAGUUGAGUAGAAGCUAGUCCUUGGAGUCUAGUGUCGUCCUUAGUGUCAUGCUCUGGUAGAUGUAACAUCGGGAGGGGAUGUUUUAAUUAUUUUGAUGUUGAUUGUUGAAUAUUUACAUGUACUGUGGUACAUGUUAUUACAUGAUUGAAUUGAUUUUCUAUCCGCUGCGAAUUAUGCAAAAGUGUCCUAUUUUGAUUAAAUAAAUGAGCAUGACAGGAUAUUUGAUGAAUAUUGUGUGACACCCUUCGGGGCAUAUACUCUGAUUGAUAUGUUUAUAUUUAAUUAAAUAUUUGGGGUAUUUUAGAAGGGUGUUACACUAAUCACCUAGCAUGCAAACAUCAACAACAAUCCACAUACCCACAUCACAAUUCCUNNNNNNNNNNNNNNNNNNNNNNNNNCCAUUCACCAUAUAACUGUCAUGCUUUUUAUUAAUUCAAAACAUAAAGCAUUUGCACAAUACGCAGCGGAUAGAGAUAAAUCAAUCAUGCAAACAUGUAGCAUAUACAUGUAAACUGGUUCACAACCAACAAUAAACAUUUAAAACAUCCCAUCCGAUGUUACAUCUACCAGAGCAUGACCACUAAGGAACUACACUAGAUCCACAGCACUAGCUCCUACUCAAUCACUGCUCGUUACCUGAAAAAUAGUGUAAGGGUGAGUCUCAAUCAUAUAUAAGCAUUUAUAAAAUAUCAUGCAAUGUUAAGUAAUUUAACACAUUUCAUCACCCUAAUCAUAACACACAUUCAGUAAACGGCCAAUCACUCAACACUCAUACUCAACACCAACAUAAAGCACAUGUAUAAUCUCAUUCAUACUCACACCAACACAAAACACGUAUAAUAUUGGAAUACAUCAUUCAUAUUAUACGUCAUACAUACAUUAUGCAAUGAGACUCCAUGCAUCGCGUACGACUAUUCGUGAACAUAUAGUUCAACCUCACCGAUCAAAUCCAGAUACGGCUACAAGUCACUAGUCCCACUCAUUUGACCUAGUGACUCACUCACUAAUUCCUCACAUGGUAUAGCUACCACCCAAGGCUAUUGAUAUGCACCGCUAAUGUAACACCCCAAUAAAAUAAGAUAAUUAUUUAAUUUAAUUAAUAAUUUAUUUAUUAAUUUAAUUGAAUAAUUGGAAAUUGGAUUAUUAUUUUAUUAUUUUGGAAUAAUAAUUAUUGGAUAUUAUUUAUUGGAAUAUAUAAGUUGGAAUAAAAAGUCCCAAUUUGGAAAAAAAGGUUUUCACGUGAAAGGAAAAGAGAAGCGGCUGAAAGAGAGAAAGGGCAAAAGGCAGAGCAAGAGAAGAGGAAAGCUUGAAGCUGCAGAUUUGCCGGAUUAACUCAGGUAAGAGGGGUUUAUCAUCGGUUAAAGGUAUUAUAUGAUAAUAUGUACGGUGGGUAGUGAUAACCAUUGUUUUACCUCUGAUUAGAUGAUGCAUGAUGAAUUGUGAAAUAUUGGAUGAAUGAAAUUGGAUGAUAAAUGAAAGGGUUGGUAGGAAUUGGAUGUAAAGUGGUUAGUUUUGUGUAAAUCGAAGAUAGGAAUUGUGUGGAAAAUAUGGACGAUUAUUUGGUGUAAAUUGGACUGUAGGAAGGUUGGAUCGGAUAGGUUCGUAAUAGAGAAAGCAUUGCAGAUCUGGAAAUCGGCUUCUGUAGCAGAGGUCUGUUUGCGCGGAUUCGCGGCGCCGAACUGGCAAAUCCAGAGGGGUCUGCUAACGCACGUCGCGGCGCGAACCCUGCUGGCGGCCGCGAACUGUGCUGUGCAGAAGUUGAUGUUGGAUGGUGAAUUCGUGUGGUGGUGAUGCAGUUUUUGGCUGUCUAGCUGAAUGAUGUGACUUAGCUGAGGACCGAUGUAAUAGGAUCAUUUCCCGUUUUUGAGUGGCAUAGUAUUAGUAGGUGUGCUAAUACUAUGUUAAUUAUAUGCAUGUAUUGAUAUGCUUUCGUGAUGAAAGUGUUGAUGAUAUGUGAUGGUAUGCAAUAUGCUGUGAAUGUAUCGGUGAUGUAUGCAUUAUUAAUGACUGUUGUAUGGCUUAGAGUGUGAGCAUGUGUCUAUUCUUGAAUUGUGUUGUUGUUGUGCCUUGCUAGAUGUUAGCAUGCAUGCAUAGCCUGUGGGGCUGUAGCUAAUUCCCAUUGGUGAGGAAUUAGUGAAGUAAAAUAUGGUGGAGUUUUGUUGAUGUUUGCAUACUAGAGAGUAUGUGCAUGUCUAGCCUUUGGGCUGUAGCUAAUUCCAUGGUGAGAUUAGUGAGUGAGUCAUUAGAUCUCAAUGAUGGGACUAGUGAGCUCAGUAGCCGUAUCCGGAGGAUCGGUGAGCUUGGACUAUAUGUUCAAGAAGAGUUGGUACCCGCAUUUCAUGGAGUCUCAUUGCAUAAUGAAUGCAUGGCAUAGCCUGUGGGGCUGUAGCUAAUUCCAUUGUGAGGAAUUAAUGAGUAAAUCGUUGUGUUGUGUUGUUGGUGUUGAAUAUGGUUGAGACUAUACAUAUGAUAUAAUUUAUUUUGAGUAUAAUGUUUGCGUUGAUACUGCCGUUAUGGAGUGUGUAGUCUGGUUAGGUGAUUUGAUGCGUAUUUACUUAACAUUACAUAAUGUUGUAUAAUGCUUAUUAUAUUGAUUGAGAACUCACCCUUACAACUAUGUUUUUCAGGUAACGAGCAGUGAGUUGAGUAGAAGCUAGUCCUUGGAGUCUAGUGUCGUCCUUAGUGGUCAUGCUCUGGUAGAUGUAACAUCGGAGGGGAUGUUUAAUUAUUUUGAUGUUGAUUGUUGAAUAAUUUACAUGUACUGUGGUACAUGUUAUUACAUGAUUGAAUUGAUUUUCUAUCCGCUGCGAAUUAUGCAAAAGUGUCCUAUUUUGAUUAAAUAAAUGAGCAUGACAGGAUAUUUGAUGAAUAUUGUGUGACACCCUUCGGGCUAAUUACUCUGAUUGAUAUGUUUAUUAUUUAAUUAAAUAUUUGGGGUAUUUUAGAAGGGUGUUACAUAGUGGUAUCGAGCAUAGUCGGCGAGUCGAGUCGUAUUAUUCUGUUCUGUACGGGAUAGGUGUUGUGUAACCCAUAGUAUUAUUGUUAGCUUGUGGUGUUUUCAGAUAGAGAUGGCUGGAAGAGGUAGAGAUGAUGCUGGAUUGCUGAGGCUCUGGGUAUGCUAGCUGGAUACUUGGAGGAAUCCGAAUGUUGUGGGAAUGGGAGCUGCUCGUCACUGAGUGAGUUCCAGAAGAACAAUCCUCCAUGUUCAAGGGCGCAUACGACCAAGAGGUGCUCAGAAGUGGUUGAAGGAGAUAGAGAGGAUCUUCCGAAGUGACUGAGUGUGCGAUAACCAGAAGGUCAGGUUUCGGUACGCAUAUGCUGUCAGAGGAAGCUGAUGAUUGGUGGGUUGCUACCCGCACUGAGUGGAAACUGCUGGGAAUGCGUGAAUCACUUGGGCUGUGUUCAGAGAGAGAUUCCUGAGGAAGUAUUUUCCAGAGGAUGUUAGGGAAAGAAAGAGAUAGAGUUCUUGGAAUUGAAGCAGGGUAACAGGUCUGUUACUGAGUAUGCUGCUAAGUUCACAGAGCUGUCGAAGUAUUACUCCUAUAAUGAGGCUGCUGCGAGAAUUUUCGAAAUGUGUGAAGUUGAGGAACGGGUUGCGUCUGAGAUCAAGCAGGCUAUUGUAUCAGGGAUCGAGUGUUUUCUGAUUGGUUGACUGUUGCAGGAUUUUUGAACAGGAUUCCAAGGCCAGAGCUGAGAGCUAUCAGCAGAGGUUGAUAGGAAAGCAAGAAUCAGAUUGAUCGUGGAAACCGUAUGCAGCUGGCAAAGGUUUUCAGAGACAGAGUGGGAUGAAGAAGCUAGUGGGGGAGACUCUAGUGCUCCUGUUAAGUGUUACAGAAUGUGCUCGGGCUGGACAUCGUGUUCAUGAGUGUACCAGUGCUGAGAUGAAGUGUUUCAAGUGGGAAAGGUGGUCAUUUGGCUGCCAGUAUGCGGUUGAAGACUGUGAUUGUUUCAACUGUGGAGAGUGGGUCAUAUCAUCGCAGUGUCCUAAGCCGAAGAAAGAGAAUCAGUCGGGAGCAAGGUUUUUGCUUAUCGGGUUCUGAGACUUCUGCAAUGUCGUGAUCGGUACGUGUUAUAUUAAUGGCUCUUCCUCUUGUAGCUAUUAUUGACAGGGUGCGACUCAUUCUUUUAUAUCUUGGAUUGUGCUGUAACUUAGUUAGAGAUAUCUGAGAUGUUUGUAGUAUGGUGUAUGAUACUCCUGCGAAGGGUUCAGUGACUUACUACGUCAGUUUGUUUAAAUUGUCCUUAGUAUUUUUGGUAGAGACUUGGAUAGACUUUGUGUCUUCCAUUAGUGCCAGAUUGAUGUUAUCCUGGGUAUGAACUGGUUGGUGUUUACGAUUUAUAUCAAUUUUUUGAUAGACUGUGAUCUUUCUGAGAUUGAGGAAGGAAGAGUUUGUUUCUAUCAGCGAGGCACGUGUGAAUGAGGAGUAGCUGAUGGGGCCAGAGCUGUUUAUGCUGUUAGCGACUUUGGAAGCUAAAGAUAAACUAGUGUUGGCGAUCUCGUGUGGUGUGUGAUUUCCUGAUCGUGUUCCGGAAGAAGUGAAUGUUACACCAGAGCGUGAAGUUGAGUUUCGAUUGAUUUGGUACCGUACUAGACCGAUAUCGAUGGCUCUGUACGUAUGUCUGCUGUGAGUUAGCUGAAUUGAAAUCAGUUUGGAAUUUGUGGAUAAGAAAUUUAUUCGUCCGAGUGUGUCACGUGGGUGCACCAGUGUUGUUGGUUAAGAGAAAGAAGUACAUGAGAUUGUUGUGUGGAUACAGGCAACUGAAUAAGUGACUAUCUAAGAAUCGUAUCUUUGCCGAGGAUUGAUGAUUGAUGGAUCAGUUUGUUGUGCGAGUGUGUUCAGCAAGAUAGAUUUGAGAUCUGGUAUCAUCAGAUACGUGUGAAACUGAGGAUAUUCAGAAGACUGCUUUCAGAACAAGGUAUGGACUAUGAGUUUCGGUGAUGCCUUUUGGUGUGACUAAUGCGGGAGUAUUCAUGGAGUAUAUGAAUAGAUUUUCCAUCCGUACCUAGAUCGUUUGUUGUGGUGUUUAUUGAUGACAUUUUGGUGUAUUCGAAAUCUGAGAAGAGCAUGCUGAACAUUGAGAGUGGUGUUGGAGUUCUACGAGAAAGAAGUUAUUUGCUAAACUGUCAAGGGUGAAUUUUGGUUAGAAGAGGUUAGUUUUCUUUGGUCAUGUAAUUUCAAGAGGUGGUGUUGCUGUUGAUCCUUCUAGAUAGAAGCGGUAUCUAAGUGGGAAGCUCCGAAGUCAGUUUCUGAGAAGAAGUUUCUUGGACUUGCAGGUUAUUAUUAGGAGUUCAUUGAUGGGAUUCUCUAAGUUGGUUACCGUUGACGAUGUUGACUAGAAAGGCGCACGUUUGUUUGGGACUCAAAUGUGAGAAGGUUUCCAAGAGUUAAGAAAAGGAAGUUAAACUCUGCUCUCUAUCCUGAUAUUACGAGUUCGUCGGAACUAUUUUGGGUUUAUUGUGAUGCUUCAUUGCUGGUUUAGUGGUGUGUUGAUGCAAAUAAGCAGGUUAGCUUAUGCUCGCGAGACAGUUAAGAGUUAUGAGAGGAACUACCCGACAACAUGAUUGAUUGGCAGCUGUGGUAUUUUUUCUGAAAGUUAUGAGAGCAUUAUUUGUAUGGGUCAGAUUGUAGUUUUCAGUGACAUAAAGUUUAAGUAUUUGUUUGAUCAGAAAGAAGCUGAAUAUGAGGCAGAGGAGAUGGUUAGAAGUUCUGAGGAUUAUGAUUUUGGGUUGAAUACCAUCCGGGUAAAGCAAAUGUAGUGGCUGAUCAUUGAGUCGGAAAUCAUUGCAUAGUCUAUGUUAAUUGUUAAGAACUGGAUUUAAUUAACAGUUUAGGACUUGAGUUUGGUGUGUGAGAUACUCCAAUAGUGUCAAUUGGGAAUGUUGAACUAACAUGGUAUUUGGAUGAGAUCAGAGAGGGUCAGAAAUCUGAUGUGCUUUUGGUUGAUAAGUUGACUUUAGUGAAUCAAGGUCAAGGUGGGAAUUCAGAGUUGAUGAGAAUGGUAUUUUGAAAUUUGGUAAUCGGGUGUGUAUUCCGGAUGUUGCGAGCUUAAGAAGAGUAUUCUUGAAAAGGACAUCGUAGUGGUUUGAGUAUUCAUCCUGGAGCUACGAAGAUGUAUCAUGAUUUGAAGAAAGUUGUUUGUUGUGCGGGAAUGAAAGAAAAAUUGCGAGUUUUGUUUAUUCCUGUUUGACUUGUCAGAAAUCAAAGAUUGAGCAUCAGAAGCCGUCUGGCUAAUGCACCGUUGGCUAUUCCAGAGUGGAAGUGGGACAGUAUCAGUAUGGAUUUUGUUUCGGGUUUACCGAGAACAGUUAAGAAUUUUGAGGCUAUUUGGGUGAUUGUGGAUAGAUUGACAAAAUCGGCUCAUUUCAUUCCGAUCAGAAUGGAUUAUCCGUUGGGAGAGUUAGCUGAUUGUAUAUUGAGAAGAUUGUAGUCUACAUGGUAUCCCGCGAGUAUUGUUUCGGACAGAGAUCCUAGAUUUACAUCGAGUUUUGGGAAGGUUUGCGAAGGCUUUGGAACUAAGUGAGAUUAAGUUUGCAUAUCAUCCGCAGACUGAUGGUCAGACUGAGAGGACGAUUCAGUCAUUAGAGGAUCUUUUGAAGCUUGUGUUUUGGAAAAGGGGUGCUUGGGAUUGUUAUUUACUUUGGUUGAGUUUACCUACAACAAUAGUUUUCAUUCGAGUUGGUAUGGCACCGUUUGAAGCUUUGUAUGGUAGGAGAUGUGACACCUUUAUGUUGGUAUGAGUCCGGUCGAGAGUGCUGUGGUUUGACCAGAGAUUGUUCAACAGACUACUGAAAGAUUAGAUGAUUCAGGUAAAUGAGAAUGCUCGAGAGUCGUCAGAAGAGUUAUCAUGAUAGAGGGAAAGUCACUUGAGUUCCAAGAGGAGAUCAUUGUUUCUUCGGUUACUCCGAUAACUGGUGUUGGUCGAGCCUUGAGUCAAAGAAGCUGACUCUCGAUUUAUUGGUCCUUAUCGAUUUUGGAGAGGAUAGGGAGGUAGCCUAUCGUAUCGCUUUACGCGUCACUUGCGAAUUUGCAUGAUUUUUUCUGUGUCUAGUUGAGGAGAUACGUUCAUGAUCCGUCGCAUGUAGUCAAGUAGAUGAUGUACAGGUGAGAGAUAACCUGACUGUUGAAACCAUCACCUAUGAGGAUGAAGAUCGAGAGUUGAAGCAGUUGCGGGUAAAGAGAUUGCUUAGUGAAGGUAGCUUGGGAGGACCGCAGGUGGCAAUGUGACUUGGGAACUUGAGAGUCAGAUGAAGGAUCUUAUCCAGAGUUGUUCGCUUGAGGUAUGUUUUCGAGGACGAAACUCUUUUAGUGGGGAGAGUUGUAACACCCCAAUUAAAAUAAGAUAAUUAUUUAAUUUAAAUUAAUAUUUUUUAUUAAUUUAAUUGAAUAAUUGGAAAUUUGGAUUAUUAUUAUUAUUAUUUGGAAUAAUAAUUAUUGGAAUAAUUAUUUAUUGGAAUAUAUAAGUUGGUAAAAGUCCAAUUUUGGAAAAAAGGUUUCACGUGAAAAGGAAAGAGAGCGGCUGAAAGAGAGAAAGGGCCAAAGGCAGAGCAAGAGAAGAGGAAAAGCUUGAGCUGCAGAUUUGCCGAUUAACUCAGUAAGGGGGUUUAUAUCGGUUAAAAGGUAUUAAUAUAUAUGUACUGGGUAGUGAUAACAUUGUUUUACCUCUGAUUAGAUGGAUGCAUGAUGAAUUUGUGAAAUAUUGGAUGAAUGAAAUUGGAUGAUAAUUGAAAGGUUUGGUAGGAAUUGGAUGUAAAAGUGUUAGAUUUUGUGUAAUCGAAAAGAUAGGAAUUGUGAUGGACAAUUAUUUGGUUGUAAUGGACUGUAGAAGGUGGAUCGGAUAGGUGGAAUAUAGAGAAAGUCAUUUGCAGAUCUAUCUCUCUCACCAUGGGAAUUAGCUACCACCAUAAAGGCCACAAUAUGCAAGCUAAAUCACUUAGUCAUGCAAACAUCAACAAUCAUCCACAAUGGACAUAUGCUCACACUCUAAGCCAUAAACAGUCCAUUCACCAUUGCAUACAUAAUAGAUACAUCCACGGCAUUAUGCAUACAAUCAUACAUCAUCAACAUAUUUAUCACAUAAUCAUAUCAUGCCACAUAAUCAAUCACAGUAUUAGCACACUCUACUAAUACAUAUAUUGCUCAAAACAACGGGAAAUGAUCCCUACUCUAUCAUACAUCAGCUAAAUUACAUUACUCAGCUGAACAACCCAAAAACUGCACAACAACAGCACAGAAAAAUCACAAUUAUGCCCAUACGCGUAUUGCCUAGUCCCAUACGCGUAUGGCCCAUUUCUCAGCCAAUCCCAUACGCGUAUCACCUGUCUCAUACGCGUAUGCUACGCGUACCAACAGAGACCAACCCACGCUCAAAACAUCACCUUCCUCAUCCAUACGCGUAUUGCCUAGUGCCAUACGCGUACCAGACCAUCUCAUACGCGUAUUGCCUAGUGCCAUACGCGUAUGACCAGAAACCAGAUUUCCAGAUCUGCUAUGGUUUUCUCUACCACGAGAUUCCUCAGAUCCAACCUCCCACAGUCCAAUUUUACACAGUAUUCGUUCGUAUCAUCUAACACGAAUCAUACCCUAUUCGAUUUCACAAAUUCUAACAUUAUUACAUCUAAUUCCUACGAAUUCCCUUCAAUUAUAAUCCGAAUUUCGUUCAUCCAAAAGUUCACAAUUUCCUCAUGCAUCAUUCCAAUUAGAGUCAAAUCAAUGGUUUAUCACUACCCAUUACAUGUUAACCCAUAAUACCCAUUAAACGACGAUAAACCCCCCUUACCUGAGUUAAUCCGGCAAUCCUAAAGCUUCAAGCUUUUCCCUUCUUCAACCUUUGCUCUCUUGCUCUUCCUCUUUUGCCUUUCCUCCACUUCUCAAUCGCUUCUCUGUUUCACGUGAAAAAACCCUUUCUUUACCAAAUGGAACUCUUAUAUAUAUUCCCACUUUAUUAUUCCAAUUUAUAUUAUUCCAAUAAUAAUAAUAAUAAUUCCAAUAAUAAUCCAAUUAUUUAAUUAAAUUAAUAAAUAUAUUAUUAACUUAAUUUAAAUAAUUAUCAUAUUUUAUCGGGGUGUUACAUGUUGGAUGCGUCUGAAGAUGCAUCUUUGAAAACUGGGGGACAUUUUAGAAAAUCGUGUGGUGCGUAAGAAGCAUAUAAGGUGCAUUAAGAAAUCCUCUUAUAUUUGUUGAUGUUGGGUUAUAUUUGUUGAUGUUGGGUUAUAUUUGUUGAUGUGGCUAAUUGUUAUAGGGGAAUGAUAUUUAUAUAAAGGAUAAGGAUAGAAAGAUAGAAGGAUUGCGAUGAUAUUUAUAUAAAGGAUAAGGGUAGCAAGAGAGAAGGUUGAGAAUUAUUCAGUUAAGAACCAAAGUGGUUUGGAUAGAGAGAGAAUUGUCUCUUCUCUGAAGAGCGUAGCCUUGGGAUUGCAAGGGUUUAUUGUCUGCAAUAGUUAUUAUUUUUCCAUUAAUAAUACAAUUUCUUUUUCUCUGGUAUUUUGUUGGAAACUCUGGAUAAUUACACAUAAAGCCAAUGAUGGAGGACAUUUGGACUAUGAAGAUGGAAUCAUUAGAUUUUGUGGAGGCAAAUCUUGUUGGUUGGAUUUAUGUGGAUGGACAGUUAUUCCGAGUUAUUAAUCGUGGUCGCUCCAGGCGCUAUCCCAGGGUUCUCUCCCGGUGUGGUAACCCUCUGCUACGGAGGAGCGACUCGCAUCCUAGUUUUAAAUAACAGUCGGGAAAGCUGGGAUAGCAGGUUAUGGGAGCAAAGCGCUUCCUGACCCAUAAUAGUUUUCUGCUUUUAGAAUUUUUUAAAAACGAAAAGACCUUUUUAUCCGUAAAAAUAUUUAAAACUGGAAAAAUUUAUUAUAGUCGUUCAUAUUUUCUCCUCUCAUUCAUGUUUUCACCUUUCUCCAUCGUGUUUCUUCUACAUUUUUCGCUUGCUACUUCUCUUGCUACUUCUCUUGCCCUAACUCCUCCUCCGCCUCAACUGCUUCAACCUUGUCUCUACUUCUAUUCUUCUUUUUCUCUACUUUUUUUUCUACUUUUCUAUUUUGUUCUAUAUCCUAUUCUUUUGCAUUUAUUGUUUUUCUAUUCGUUUUUAGAUUGUUUUUUCUUUUAUAUUAUUGUUUUUUUUUCUUUUAAAAUAUAUUGAUUUUGAGAUUAAUAUAUAUAAAUUAUUCAUAUAAUUAAUCCAAAAAAAAAAAUAAUCUACCGAUAUACUCCCUCCGUUCUUUUUUAAGUGUCACUUUCUUGAAAAAAAAAAGUUAUUUCUUUUUAAUUGUCACUUGCAAAGUUUAAGGUAGUAUUAAAUAUACUUUUGUCAAAAUUACCCAUAAAUAAUUAUUACAGAGAGAGAAAAAGUAAUUGAAAUGUAAUAAAUAAUUAAGGGUAUUAUAGGUAAAAAAAGAAUUAUUGAUUGAAAACUAAUAAUAAUAAUUAAAUGUCUUGGUAUGCGUAAAAAGUAAAAAAAAAAUCUUAAAAAAAAACAAAAGAAGUAUAAUUAAUCUAAAAAAUUAUCCUUCUAUGAUUUCGCUAUCCCAUUUUUGGAUAGACCUUUCCACUAUUUAGAAUUAAUAAUUAUGCAAUAAUUUGACAAUAACAAAAUCCAUUUUGAGUAUAAAUUGCAGGGGACAUUCAUGAGCAUGGAAGAUGAAGGAUCAAUGUUAUGGUUUUGUCAUUGGUGUGAAGAGAAUCUAGAUUCUGAUUGGAAUUUAUUUGGAGCAUAAAUGGUACAAAAUCAAGAAACAAAGUCGAAACUGUUUCAUUGUUGAACAAGAACCAAAACGUUAUACAAAAGUAGAAUCUGACUUCAAGAGAUUGAUGAUACAUGAAUUCAAACGGAUUACCGAAAACGAGGAACAAGAGCCAUGUUUAACGGAAGAAUGAAUGAGAUCUAAAGAAGAAAGCAGCAUGUGUUUGUUUUUGAGCCACCCGACGCCAACCUUUAUGUGAUUGUUGUCGAACUCCAUUGGAUAAAAAUACCCUUAUAUAAAUAAUUUAUUAAAAGUUAAAAAUUAUAAUAAAAAAUAUAAAAGAAUUAUUAUUUAAUUUUUUAAAAAAAAAAUUCGAUACACAAAAUAAAUAUUAAAAAUAUUAAAAAACUAACUAACGAAAGUUUUUAAAAAAGUUUACCGAUACAUAAAAUAAAUGUUAAAAAUGUUAAAAAAAUUGAUUAACGAAACUCUUUUCUAAAGUCUUCAUACACACACAAAAUUAAUGUUAAAAAUUGACUAACGAAACUUUUUUGCAAAGUCUUUCGAUACACAAAAUAAAUAAAAAAAAAUGAGUAUCAUAAUAAAUCUUUUGCAAAGUAUUAUGAUAUGCAAAAUAAAAAGUUAAAAAACAUUAAAAAAUUGAUUACCGUAAUUCUUUUGGAAAGUCUUCCGAUAUAAAAAAGAAAAAUUAAUAUUAAAAACUGACUAUCGAUAUAUAAAAUAAAAGUAAACAAAUAUUUAAAAAUUGAUUAUCAAUUUUUUUUUAAAAGUCUUUUAAAACACAAGAUACAAAUUAUUUUUUUAUUUUAAAAAUAAUAAAUAAAUUAAAAAUAUAUAUGCGAUAUUUUUAUAAAAUAUAGAUAUAAAAAGAAAGGUAGGGAUAUAACUUAAAAUUCUAUUUAUGUUGUUGGGAUAUAUUUGCUCAUGUGACUAGAGAGCAAUGAUAAUUAUAUAAAGGAUAAGGAUAACAAAAGAGAAAAGUAAGAAUUAUUCAAUUUGGAAUCGAAAUAGUUUGAGCAGAGAAAGAAAUGUCUCUUCUUUGAAGAGCUCAUUGUCUAUAUAAGUUUUUGUUUUUUCAGUAAUAAUAUAUUUUUUUCUUGAAUUUGGAUUCUUAAUGUAUGCACAAUUUCCAUUUAUAAUACAAUUUAUUUUGAAUUUGAAUUUGGGUUCCCAAUGUAUACGCAUUGAAAUCAAAGAUUUGAGUCCUUGUAUCGGUGAGAAAUUGUCGUAUCAAUGUGGUGACAAAGACUAAUAAUUAUCUCUCUCUCUUGUCAUGUUAAUUAUGAACUAUUGGUUUAGGAUCAAGAAUUCAUCUAUAUAUGAUUUGGGCAAUGACUGAAAAGGUAAAGUAUACGAUUCAUUCAUUAUUUUUUCCCUUUAAACAAUUAGUCUUGGAUGAAACACACUAUUCUUUCACACAAUUGAUAACUAGGCAAACCUGAAUUGUAAACAUUUAGGGGGAUUAUUAGUUUGGCAAUUGUGAAGUCUAAAAUACUUUUUUUCUCUAUACUGCACUGAUGCAAUCUAAUCUAAUGAUAUGUAGAGGGGGGAGAUGAUCCAUUGGCUUUGUGGAGGGGAUUGCACCCAAACUUUCUUUAUAUAUAUCUCUAACAAUCCACUCUCUCACCUCACUUUAUCCUCCCUUUUUUCUUUGUUUUCCAAUUCUCUCUCCACAAAAAAUGCCUAAAGUCAAGCAAAGUUAGAGAAGAGAAAGUUAGAGAAUCUCAAUUCCAUGCAAAGGAGAGGAUCCGCUGACUUUGUGAAGGAGACUGCACCCUAACUUUCUCUAUAUAUCUCUCUAACAAUCCACUCUCUCACCUCUCUUUUCCCUUUUUUCUCUAUUUUUAAAUUCUCUCUCCAAAAGAAAUGCCUAAAGUCAGGCAAAGUUAGAGAAGAGAAAGUUAGAGAAUCUUAAUCCCAUGUAAGGGAGAGGAUCCACUGACUUUGUGAAGGAGACUGCACCCUAGCUUUCUCUAUAUAUCUCUCUAACAAUCCACUCUCUCACCUCUCUUUUCCCUUUUUUCUCUGUUUUUCAAUUCUCUCUCCACAAGAAAUGCCUAAAGUCAUACAAAGUUAGAGAAGAGAAAGUUAGAGAAUCUCAAUCCCAUGUAGGGGAGAGGAUCCACUGACUUUGUGGAGGGGAUUGCACCCUAACUUGCUCUCUAUAUCUCUCUAACAAUCCACUUUCUCGCCUCUUUGUUCCCUUUUUCUCUGUUUUUCAAUUGUCUCUCCACAAGAAAUGCCUAAAAUCAGGCAAAGUUAAACAAUCUCAAUCCCAUGUAGGGGAGAGGAUCCACUGACUUUGUGGAGGGGAGUGCAUCCUAACUUUCUCUUUAUAUCUCUCUAACAAUCCACUCGCUCACCUCUCUUUUCCCUUUUUUCUCUGUUUUUCGAUUCUCUCUCUACAAGAAAUGUCUAAAGUCAGGCAAAGUUAGAGAAGAGAAAGUUAGAGAAUCUCAAUCCCAUGUAGGGGAGAGGAUCCACUGACUUUGUGAAGGGGACUACACCCUAACAUUCUCUCUAUAUCUCUCUAACAAUCCAUUCUCUCACCUCUCUUUUCCCUCCUUUUUUUCUCUGUUUUUCAAUUCUCUCUCCAUAAGAAAUGCCUGUUAUUACCUGAAGCAAACCAUAUGAGACUUAAACACAAUAUUUUGAGAUUACAUGUAUGUUUGAAUGAGCGGUGAGAUUGAAAAAACACAGUGCCACCGUAAUUGUGAAAGCGAAAGUAUUGAUCUAAAUUAACAAAGUAGAGACAAAUCAAACACAGAAAAAUGUGAUAGCACCUUUUCCACUAUAAUUCGGUACAAAUAUAUUGACAAUAUUUGUUUCCACCUUUAUAGGUUCUUCCAAAUCCUUGGCUAAAAAUCAAAAAUACAUUCUAUUUUUGGAGAUGCAUUUCCAAAGACACUCAUUUUUUACAAAAUUGAAUGCCAACGAGUAAGACAUCCCAAUUAUACCUAAUUUUUGUUCGGAGAUGCAUCACCAAAUAUUUUUUUGAUAUAUUUCGAAGAUGCAUAUUCAAAAGUAGCUCAGAUACUUCAAACCAGAAACAAUGACAAUAUGAGAAAGAUUUAGAAACAAAAUCAACUUGACAAAAAAUUGAAACACUCAACAUUACAUAGAUAGUAUAGUUGUUAACGUAAAUUUAACAUUAGAGAUAGUUACAAACAAGUAGUUCAGGAUGUUGCAACAUAUUGAUAAUAUCAUCGGAGAAUCUUUCAAUCUUUGCAUCCACUUCAAUCGAAGCAUUUGAUGCGUAACGGUAAAAUGUACUCCAAAUGACCUGUAAAUCUUCAUUCGUCUUUAGUUCAAAGUUGGUGAACUGUAUCUUCCCUUCGCUGUCAAUCGAUGAUGAACGAUACUCAAGCUUGAUAACUCUUUGAUUUUCUGGAUAUCGCAGGAGAGUAUUCAGUUUAGUUUUCAGAUCGACGAGAAGUAUGUCGUCGCAGAAUCGAAAUUGAAGUGAGAGUUUUACACAAUUGAAAUACACAAAUGCUUUUAAGAAUAAUAAGUCAAGUGUGAGUUGGAGUUCCGCAUUAGUUAUAAAUGUGGAAAUUUGAUCAUUUAUAAGUGGGAGAAUCCACACACAUAUCACCUUAAGGUUUUUGGUGAAUAUGUGGUGUCUCUCUCACUUGUGUUUUGCUCUUAGUCCAAUGUUGAUGCUCCUUCUCAUGACCCAACAAAUGGUAUUAGAGUCUAUGGGGAUAUGCAUUCAUUAUCUUGUUGUAAAAAAAACAUGGGUUGAGAGACACCCUAUUUAUACAAGUACUGAGUCACUUUGGACCUCAAAAACCUUAUCAUGACAUCAGGUCACUUUUCAGAUCUCUGAUUAAACCCUGAUUUUUUACGAAAAAAUGGUGUUAACGGAUAUGCAUAUCCGAAAAAUUCUUGGAUCAUUUUUUUCAAUAUGUAUGAGGUUUAUUCGGAUAUACAUAUCCGAAAUUUACCCUGAAGCAGAAUCAAACUAGAACUUGUGUCUGCAAAAACAAAAAAUGCAAACCAUAAAAUUUGUAAAAUGAAAAAGUCGACAUUAACAUCGUCAUUGUUGAAUAAAUAUUACUAAAUUGUUAAUUGAUAAACCAUCCUAAUGAAAGCGCUAUUUAAAUGACUUCAAAAAACUUUUCAGAGAUGUAUCUGCAAAUUCACCCCAGAAAUCUUUCUUCGCAUAUGUAUCUCUGAACUAAAUUUUAACAAAAACUUGAAUUUGAUAAGUUCGAAUAUGCAUCUUCGAAAAAGUAUAGAGUCAUUUUUGAAUUUUCAAAGGUGCGGCCCACACUUCAUAAAAGUGAAAAAAGAAAUUGCGAAAUAUAUUUUGUUUACAUCAAAGGUAGAGAAAGUUAAUUCCAAGUUUGUUUAACUAUUUAUCCUCCAAAAGAAAUGGCCCAGUUGACAUAACUAUUCUAAAAGGGAUUUACGGAAAUUGGGUUUUCUUGAAAUUCAGUGGUUUUAAGUUAAGUGGUUUUUAAAACAAGUGAAUUUGCAAUGGUAUCAAUCAUCCAUAUCAGUAUUAGCACCGUGAAACAUGUUAACUCAUAAUGCUGCUUAUUCUCAUGAGAUUAAAUCCAUAUCUGUACUAGUACUUUGUUAUGCAUCCAUACAUGUUUUGUUUAUGAUGGCAUGGAAAUAGUCACUUCUUCCAAAACAAAUCAUAUGGUACAAUAACAUAAAUUUUGGACACUACAUUUCAUAUAAAACAAUGAAUUGCAACCGUCUGUAUUUACUAGUACUAGUUUCAUGAUUCCAACUACAAGUUUUCACCAUCAUCACUACUGUCAACUGAAGAUAAACUACAAAAUUUUGAGUGGGUAAGCAACAUGCCAAAUCUUCGCCACCUAGACUGGACAACUAAAGAAGUUUCAGUCCACCUGUUACCUCGUCUACCACUUCAACAGGUCCUGCACAUGAAUAUCAUGUUAAAAUCGAACUAUCUUGAGCUAUAUAAAAAGAAAAGGAAAAGCUAAACUGGCAUCGGAAAAAAAUGGUCAUUGUAUUAGAGAAGAGUAUUACCGAGAAUCGCCAUCACCGUUCUGGAAUCUAGAAGGAAAAAAAAACUAUCAUAAGCAUUAAAUAUAAACUAACAUUAUACCGGACAAAAAUAGAAUAUGUAACAAAAGAAGGUUAUUCAUUCUGAGUACUUUUUAAAAUGUAAAUCCACCUAUAUUAUUUCAGACACAGUUAUAAAGUCCAAAGGAACCAACUGCACAUCUCUUUUCUUCAGAAUACAAGGAUGAACCAGCAUUUUCAAGCAUGGAUUUCAUUAUUAGGGGAUUGCUUGAAAACUAUCUCUAGUUUCAGUUCUAGUUGUACUGGCUUCUACAGACACAGUUUAAUUGAUAUAUCCAGACAAUUAUAGUACUUGAAUAUUUACAUCAACUAUCAAGUGUUAGACGUUAAUAAUUUUUUCAUAUUUCCGUUAGGAAGAUAAAGAACACAAACACAGGUAAAAGUUCCAAUUAUAUGGCAAAACACUACACAUCAGUCAGAUAACAAUGGAAUAAGAGUAGUUUGAAAUACUUACUCGGUGCAAUCUGUGUUCGCCCCGCAUCAAUUGUGAUAUGAGUAGGUAACUUCAGAGAUUUAGCCCUUUCCUAACACAUCAAAUGACAAUUUCACUAAAUCAAAAUCUAUCUUAUAGAUAGGAGAGUCAUACAUAAUGCAUUUGACUUAAAAUUUAAGAUAGUUCGGAAGAUAAACAUGUAAGAACCUGAUUUGGAGAAAUUGAUGCGGAUGGAAUGAGAAGACAUUUAUUUGUAGACAAAGAUGAUACCAAUCAUAAAUCAAAUAUAGUUUAUAUAUUAUCUGCUAUUUGAGAUUUUGAUGAUAUGCUGAAUGCAUUAUAAAACUUGUUUCUGCUAUUCUUUUUGUUAAAAUAAAAGACCUGGUGAUUUACACCCUCAUAGAUUACUACAAUUUCUAACUAGGCUUAUUAAACCUUUCAUAGGAGUUACUUUAAUAAUAAUAAAUGACAUAUCUAACUUACAAGUUUAACAAACCGGAUGCAAUCCAAGUAUUAUUAGAAUAACAUAUAAGAAAUAUAAAAUGCUCAUUUACUUUGAGUUCAAUGUUGUAACACAAGCUAUGAACACUUCAGCUUUUAGGGUGGCCAAUUUUUUUAUGCUAUCGAUACCUCUCUCCCAGACCAUUCAUUGUUUAUAACAUGAUUUACAAACUCUUAUCCAAAGCUUUCAUAUCUGUAACUUCUUUUGUACUUUUCCAUACAAUUUAGUACAAACUAAAGAUAAUUCAAUUAAUCUUUUCAGCCUAACAAAUUAAAAGGAUAUUUUUCUUUAAAAUUGGGCAUUUUUUUAAAUCAAAAUUUUUCCGUUGAAUACUUUUCACCACUUCCUCUCCCUUCCCAAUCAUCAUAUACAGCCCGAAUUAUAAACUGUUACUAUAGAGACCUUUCACUUCAUUUAUGUUAACUAGCAAUCCCAGACACCAAACUUUGCUUUUUAAUAUAUAUAAGCCACAGUAUUCUUUUGGACAGCUUUAAAACCUAUAUGAUUGCAAUUGUCGGUAAGCAUAUAGGUGCAUUUUCUAAGUUUGAAGUUUGCAGAUAAGGUUUUCACAGUUAAGCCCAAGUUUCAUGCCUCGCACCUCAACGAAAGCAUCCCUUUCCUAGUCCUCCUUUUCAUUUGUUGUCAUAAUCACAAUCAAUAACUGACCAAAGUAUAGUGAGCAGGUAUCCAGUAAAAACGUAGAAAAAUUCAAAGAGAACUUAGCUAAUGUAGCACAAGAUUUCCCUAAGAAUCAAACAAUACAUACUUGCAAAGCCAGCAUAUCUUCUUCACUUUCAAUUUUGACAACAACCUUGGGCUGCGCAGACAUCUCCCACCUGCACAUUCGCAUUGAAAACUGAGAAUGAAGUUACACAAUUCAAGAUGACCAAAAGCUCAACCAGUGACAGUACCUAUUUAAAGCCUUUGGAGCUCGAUAAAGAACCUUUUUGUAGAGACCCAACGUUGCAUGACUACAAAAAGAAAAAGAGACAGAAAACUGAGCUAGAACCAUUAAACGUGUUUUUUGCAAUAUAAAAAAUAAAUAAGCAACGAAAAAACAAAAAUAGGAGCAAUAAAUAUGUCCACCCUUCACAUGGAUGAGGGAUCUCUAUGCCAGGAUGCUUCUGCAACAAACUAGAGAAAUAGAGAGUUUUAUUACCCUAAUGUUCACACUCUAAGCAAUAGUAAUCUAUUUGGAAGGUACUCACAGUUUCAAACAAACAGCCGCUGAUUGGAUUGGCUUAUUCAAACUUAAUUACAGCAAUAACUACCUAUGAUGCUAGUUGAGAGAGCAUAUAGAAACAACUUAGGAUUAUUUUCACAAGUUAUCCCGGAUAGCUUAUACAAACAGCUUAUAAGUAAGUUAUAGCUUAUAUAAAAACAUUUAGGCUUUAUUCUAUAUUUCAUCAUAAAAAACUUAUACAUAAGCACUUAUAUGAUAAACACUUAGCUAAGUUGUUUAACCAAACAAAACCAAAGUAACAUUAGCAAAGAUUACAUACCUGCAUUGAGCUGCAAUUUUUCCUUUACCCAUUUUAAGAUCAUUUCGAACAACGAGUAUCUACAAAAAAAUAAUAAUAAUAAUAAUUUUUAGACAACCCAUCAAAAUAAAAUUAGUAGGUUAGAAAAAAAAUAAUUUUUUUUUGUGAUUUACCAUCUUAAAAUCCUCGAGAAUUUCCGCGAGCUGUUCAACCUCAAGUGAGUCUUUGAUUUUGGACUUACUAUUCUUCUUCUGCUUACUGUUAUUGUUGUGAUUGAGAAGUGAAUCAUCUUUCUCUUUAAGGGAUGAAAAUCUAUUCGAGAAAAAGAAACGAUGGGGAUAGUGAGAACCAAUGAAGUAGCCGAAAGCGAGAUAACCGGCGCCGACCAAAAUUGCACUCAACCAUGAUACUUCCAUUUCAAUCACUUGAGAAGAUGAAGAUCACGGUUGGGAUUUUAGGGUUCUGAAAAGGGGAUUUUAGUAAUUAAUAAAAUAAAGUAAAAACACACUUUACUUUCGGCAACAACAACAACAACAACACCGAAUGAAUUAACUCUUUGAAAACUUCUACUUACACCCUUAUAAACCUAAUUACUAGCUAUUUAAUUAAUAGAAUGCCAAAAGGACUCCUAGGAUGUCACAAACUAAAAAACAAAACAAUAAUUUUAAAUUUGCAAGAUGUUUUUACGGGAUAAAAAAACUAAAUUCUUAAAAAUAAAUAAAUUGUGGCUAAGGAUGUAACUCAAUUUUAGAAAAGAGGGAAAGUGGAUUAAGAUAUCAACUUUAAAAGAUAUCUUGAAUUUAGUUAUGAGAUCAAUAUUUUGAUUGUCUUUGUAGAGGUAGGGAUAACUCUAUACAUGUUGUUUUCGGUUUAAGAUAUCUUAAAUAUUCGAGAUCAAUAUUGCAUGUUUAGGAUAUUUAUUCAAGGGAUUCUUGAUGAGCUUGAUUCGAAAGAAGAGUCUAUGUAGUAUGAUGAGUUAAUAACUUUCAUAUCUUUGACUAAUGAGAGUCUUUCGUGAAUGAUCCAAAGUUCUACUUAGAGGAUAUUUGUAUGGAUUGGUAUGAAACGAGAGAACUUGCAUUGUCAGGUCCCAUAAUAGUUGCAAAAGAUAUCACUUAAGUCAAUACGGUUUGGUGUGUCAUUUUAACUUCCAUCAACAUUAAUAAUAGUGCAUGAGAAGUUGUGGAAAUUGCACAUUUUGCUUCGUUAAAGUUUUACUAAACCAAGUAUGAAAGGAGUGAAGGAGAAUAGCGAUCCAAAAUGCAACGGAAAUUAAAAAAUUCUCCUUCAGUGAUCCUUACGAAUGGGCAUGAUCAGUGAUAGAAUCGUUACCUCUUGUGGCGAUUGAAACCCUUGAUGCAGAUCGAAUGAGUGAUCAUGAACGUUGAAUGGUGACAACGCCUCUACUCAGUCCACACGAACGAAUUCCUUCAGUCUCAGUGUUAGCUGCUACGAAUGAAGGCUUUGAGUGAAAGAAAGAGAGAAACAAAAUUUUCAUCUGAUUCAAUGUUUCUGCACAAGGGUUCUAUUUAUAGAACCACUUAUGUGGGUUGUAAGCUAAAAUGUCAACUUAAAUGUAUGUGGCUCAUAUCUUAUGAUAUACCAAAAUCACUUAAGCGCGUGGUACCUUACCAUAUUUCGUAUUCUACUUAAGUGCAUUGUACCUUACGAUGUUCUACAAUUCACUUAAGUGCAUCGUACCUUACGGUGUUCCUUAUUUACUCUAUCUCUCAUCAAUCUGUCCUUUUGUGUGUGACCCUAUAGGUUUUCGCGGCAUUGGCGAUUAUAUUAAAUCACGCAUUUAACAUAAUAAAUAGUGAGCAGUAUUUAGCAACACAUCACUGCUACCCAAGACACGAAAAUGUCAUGUGAUCUGACAAAUCUUUUUGUGAUAAUAGUUAUGUGUGUAAUUACCCUUUUGCACUUAUGUCUAUAUUGAACACAAGGCAUAGACCGUGUCAUCCUUGUCCAGUUCAAUAUUGGGCCCUUAGACAUUCAUCCUGUUAUGCAGGAUGGGCAAAUUCCAUCUAGGUCACUCAUGUCCUUCAACAUGCUUCAUUGAGUACCCAUCAACUGUCUUUAUGUUCAUCCAAUUACGAACAAUGUUUGAUCAGCAAUAAAGCACUCGACUCUACAUCUAGGGUCCAUAGUGGUUUCAGGUCGAAGGGUGGUAUACACCACUAUCACCAUGAGAAUAACUUAUGACACUUUGCAUAACAUUCUAUUAGUAUUUCAUAGCGGGACAAUCUAGUAUAAUAUUACUCAUAAUAUUCAUACUAUGUUUAGACUUGAUAACUCCUAUCCAUGAUCCAUAAGAUGUGAUCAUCAGUUCUAUUAUAACAUAAUAAUCUUUAAUGCUUUAAUAUUAUCCACUUUCACAAUAAAACUCAACUACGGAUACUUUAAGAAUAGUUGUUCUUAUGUUUAUGGGAAUUUCAUUGAUUAAGUCAACUUGAUACAUUAAAACAGGACUAGUGAUAUCUUAGGACGUUUAUUAAACAACUAUUAAAGAAAAGCUUUUUAUAUUAAUAAAUAAUUCGAUACAAGUACCAAAAAGUAUUGGGCCUCUAGGUGCAUUACACCAACAAUAUCCACGUAGCACUAGAGUCAUCAGGCAUACCUAAUGCCCAUAGGAUCUUAGUAUGCCCAUCAUGGCUUCUGUGCGCCAAAGGGCUUUGUCAGUGGGGUCAGCAAUAUUGUUCAAGUGUAGUUACUCUGCAUAUUUUCCAUUCACCUCUAUCUUUUAUCUCUCGAUGGAGGUUGAUAACUCCUAAGUAUGUUGUUUGGAUCGUUGGUUGAGAUUUUAGUGGCUCCUAGCUGUGCGAUAGGCACCAUUGUUAUCACAAUAGAGACCAAGUCCAUAAUGCUAGGACUAUGACAAGUUCACUAAUGAACUUUUGAUUCAAACAACGUUUCUUUGCUGCAUUGAGGCAAGUUAAUAUACUCGGCCCGUUGUAAAAUUAGCAACUGUAUGUUGCUUUAACGUUUUUCCAGCUCACAGCGCCACCGUUUUAAGCAAAACACAUAACCAGAUUGCAAUCUAAAGUCAUCCUUAUCUGUCUGGAAGUAGUCGGCCUGUAUCCAAUUACAGUCAGCUCUUCUUGACCUUCCAUUAUAUCAAGAAUGAGUUCCUUAGUCCUUCUAAUAUUAAGGAUAUUCUUGAAGCUACCGUAAGCAUCCCGGGAUCAGAUUGGUUACUACUCGUUGCACUAAAGCAUACGAGACAUCUGAUCGAGUACAUAAUAUGGCAUACAUUGAUAGAUUCUAUUGCAGAUACAUAUGGAAUCUUAUUCAUGUAUCCCUUUCUUCUAGUGAAGGUAUUUGUUUUUGAUAGACACGGGCCAUGUUGCAUAGGUAUUGAAUCCUUUUCGUUGGGUCAUGCAUAUUAAGCAUUCAGCACUUUGUUAUGUAUGUACUAUGACUUAGGCCAAAAUUUUGUGAUCUAUCUCUAUAGAUUUUGAUUCCUAAUAUUAGGCUGCUUCCCAGGUCCUUCAGUAGAAAAGGCAUUUUCCCCAACCAAGACUUUACUUGUUGCAGGGUAGGGACUCAUUUCCCAAUGAGUAAUAUGUCAUCGUACAUAUAAUACCAGGAAGACGAUCAUGCUCCCACUAACCUUCUUUAGCACCAAAGGCUCAUCUUCAUCGUGAUGAAUCCAUAUCGUUUUAUAUUCAUCAAAACGAAGAUUCCAGCUUCUGGAAAGCUUGCGUUCAAUCCAUAGAUUGAUCUUUGUACUUAGUAUUAUCUGAGGUCUGGUUGUCAAAUCGUUCAGGUUUAUGUGCAGUACACACUCCUUCAAACAAGUUCCCUAGGGAAAGCAGUUUGACAUCCACUACCAUAUUUCAUAAUCAUAUAUGCAGCGAUAGCAAGUAAAAUCCGAAUAGAUUUUAAAGCAUGCAACUGGUGAAAGGUUGUCAUCAUAUUCAAACCCAUGAAGUUUGUUUAUAUCCUUGCAACCAGUCUUGCUUAUAGGUAUGUGACUUACCUGUCUAUGUUGUCUUUCUUUUUGAAGACCCACUGUGCAUCCGUUAGGGUUAACUCCUCAUGGAGGAUCUACCAAGUGUCCAAACCUUGGUUUGUGUACAUGGAAUCCAUUCAAAUUUCAGUUGGUUCUAGCCACCUCUCGGACUCGGGACCAAUUAUAGGCCUCUUGGUUAGUGUUGUCCCCUAAAUUUCCCCUCCUAUUUCUCACCGUAUUGUAAUCUAAUCACUUGAGUCAAGAGUGACUUGCAUACAUCCAUAACUCAUCCACAUGCAUCAUUCCUUAUGAUUUCAAAAGAAAGUGGCCCAUAUAGCUACGGGCUCACACAGGUAUCAAAGUCCAAAGGCAUGGGUUGAUCACAUCAUCGAGCAUAAGGAAUGUGAAACCCUAAUGAGGGUAGUGAAAAGACUUGAUUCAACAAAGGUGGAACCAAUCCUUCUGGGGUCCUUUAAAGCUCUAAUUCUCAAGAACAUGAUCUCAUGAAGCUUCCCUAACCCUUGUCGUGGGGUCUUCAAAACCCUGAUGUAAGGAUUUGAUGAUUGAAACACUUAUGUUCGGAUAAUAGCAAGGGACUUGCUUUAGGGGGUAAAGGNNNNNNNNNNNNNNNNNNNNNNNNNNNNNNNNNNNNNNNNNNNNNNNNNNNNNNNNNNNNNNNNNNNNNNNNNNNNNNNNNNNNNNNNNNNNNNNNNNNNGGGGGGGUGAAUUAGGUGGUUAAAAAUUCUUCGAUCUUGUUUCCGGUUUUUGGUUAUUUUUCGUUUAAGUGCGGAAAAAUAAAUUGCGGAAAGUAAAAAGACACCGGAAUUUAUAGUGGUUCCCUUCACAAUCCGAAGGUACAUCCACUCCCCUUUCGACUCGAAAGAGAUUUCACUAUAGUUAGAAUUAUUGUACAGCCUACUCACACCAAUGGUGAUGCUUACUAUCUAACCUAUAGAUAAUCAAGUGUGCAAGAACAAUCCUCUUGCAACACCAACCCUUGUGUCCAACAAUCCUGGAUCACAAGUCAAACAGAAAUAAAUCUUUUUGAUGAUUUGAAUAAAGUGUAGCACUAUCAAUCUUCUCUUGAUUGAUCUUCUCCUUAGAUAAAUAAUUCACUCAAUGAAUAAUAUAUAAGUGUUCAACAAUAAAUGGAAUGAGAUGAAACAAGAAUGUUCAAAAGUUUCUUCUCAAAAUUUUGGUUAUGAACACUUUUAUGAAAUAUUGAAAAUAUGAAAGAGUGAUUAUCUUAAGUUUUUAUGAAAGUUCUUGGAGGUGAAUUUUCAUUUAAAAAUUCAAGAAUUUAUAUUGACAAAACACCUUUUCAAAGAGGUAUAAUUUUCUUUAUAAAAAAAAUGAAAAGGUAUAAGUUUUUGAAAAACAUUUUUCACUGAAACGAACAGUGUUAACCGGUUAACGCGUAUAACGUUAACUAACGAAGUUCAAAAACAGGGCUGUUAACCGGUUAACCCAUAUGGUUAACCGGUUAACACUGUUGAAAUGCAGAAAAAAACUUUAAGAAAAUGUGUCUUUCAUUUCAACAUGUUAACAAAUGGUUCGAUUUAAAAAUGGAAAUGCAAAAUAUGAUUGUUGAACACUUGUAUACUAAUCUAAGAGUGAAUUAGAUAUACCUUAGAAGUGAAUCAACAAACUUGCACAAGUGUUGGCUUGAAAAAAGAAGCUUGAUCAAAAUGUUGCUUAUGCAUAUGUGGCUUGAUCAAUUUGAUGCUUGAAUUCUCUUGAAGCUCUUCUCUUUUUGCAUUGAUACAUGUUGUCUUCAUCAAAGUUCUUUUGGAUUGAAGCAUGCUUCUACAAGAUUCACAUUUAGACUCGAAGAAUACCGUUCAAUAUACAUAAAUGCUAAAAUGUCAUAGUUUUGACAUCAUACAAAACAUUUAUAAUAUGAAGGUGCACUCACAUACUCCCCUUUUUUGAUGAUGGCAAAACUUACGACAAUGCAUUUGAUGUCUUCAUAAAGGCUCCCCCUGAAUGUGUGUAUCAUAGCUUGCAUCUGUUUUUCCCCUUUGAAAUAACUGAUAUUGAUGUCAAAACUUCUCCACAUAUCUUGAUUUGAUUCACCAGUUUGGUAACCCUAGUGAAAAAAUCAGUUAUGCUUUCAUUGCCUUCCGUCCGAAGCAAUUCAUAUGUUCUUUUGUGAGUUUGUAACUUCACUUAUUUCACAUUUUCUGCGUCUUCAAACGAUUUUUCAAUAAUUUUCCAUGUUUUUUUCGAUGGUUCAACAUCACUAACCUUUUCGACACUGUCUGCAUCUACGCAUUGAUGGAUCAUAACGAGAGCUUUAUAACUUUUUUCUUCAAUUCUCUGUGUCCAACAUUUUCUUCAUCUGUCGCGUUUGCUGCAAACUGCGCCAAACCCUCCUUCACAAGAUCCCAAAGAUCUCUAUAGCAAAAAAUAACAUUUACCUGCAUGCACCAAUUCUCAUAAUUUUGAUUCUUCAGAAUUGGGAGACUCGCCGGAAAAUGUGCAUUCAGAUGAUUCAUCACCAUCGUGUUUUGCUUCCCACGAAUCGCUCAAUCAGUGCUCUAGACACCAGAUGUUGGAAAUUCACCAAUUCCCCUUCAAGAAAUUCACCAAAAACUAUGGAGAAUUUCGAACUAAAUCUUGUUGAACAAGAAUCAAUCUUUUUGAUUGAUUACUCAUUUUAUUCUUCACUUUUUACUCGAGUGAAUCAACCACACUAGGUUGCGAGAUUUCGUUGCAUAAUGGUAAUGAAAAGAAGAAAAAUUGAAUUGGAGAAGAAAGAGAGAUUAUGGUUUUCGAAUAAGGAAGAAGAAGAAAUUUCUGCAAAAUAACUCUCUGCUCUCAAACUGAGAUUUUAUUUCUUUGCAACUGCAAAUAUGUGCUCAAUUACAAUCAAUAAGAGUUACUACUUAUUUAUAGAUUUUGGGCUUGCUUGCUUCUAAAGCAAAACCCAAAUACCUACUAAUGUUGCUAAUAUUGCAAAGUUAGACAUACAUAAAAAUCCAUGCUGAAGCUAACUCCUCAACACUUCAACACAUAAGUGUUUUGAUAGCAACAAACUUCGACAUCAUAAAUUACAUUCUCAAUAUUUUUUAUCAAUUGAACUAGAAUUUACUGAAACAUAGCUAUGUUUUAUUUAAGGAGAAAUGCAUCUACAUAUAUUUAAGAAAUCAAUUUAUUUUAAAGUAAAAAUAAAUAUCAAAUCUUAGUUUUCACAACACAAGUAUACACCUAUCAUAUAAAGAAAUGGAUUAUGCAUUUUAAUUUUCAAAACAUAUUUCUUUAUUAAAAAGCUAGCACAAGUAAUAAUGGAGAUAGGGGGUGUACUUUUGAAAGAAAAAAGAAGGAAGAUGUAUUAGUAAAAGCAAAUCCUAUGUUUUGGUGUACUAGAAAAAAUGGUUCAGCCCAAACGUAUGUUUUUGUCCGAAAAACAACAACAUCGAGAUUUGCCGUCAAGGGUGGCGAUGACGGCGAUGAUUCCUUAAGCUCUUGGCUUUCAAAGGUUCCAUCUUUUACUCUUUUUCAUAUCUGAAUCGUUAAUACAAACCCUAGGUACAACGGUUAUGUGUUUUGAAAAGUGAAAAUGUUUUUUUUACUAAUUGAGGUUUCAAAGCGAUAAUACUUACUGAUAUUCUUUCAAUGGAAUCACAUUAUGUUCAUUUUGCUAAAGUUUUAGGGUUUUUUAUUGUGUGAAUUCUAACUCACCUAGAAGCCACUUCAUAACUGAUUUUGAUUUUUGAGCCUCUUUUUUAUCUGGCAGAACAUUUCCAGCAUCUAAAGUUAUUGUGCUGAAAUCAUGUGUGAUUGUCAAUAAGGAUUUCCUAUUCCUCAAAUCAGAUGGCUUUUUUGUUUCAGAAAUUUCAAGAGGUAUCUUCUUAUCUUAUGCUUUACUUCAAAAGUAGUUACUUAUUUGCAGUGAUUAUAGCAAGACAUGUUUAAGUUAUCAAUAUUCAUAUGUUUAAAAUUGAAAAGACUUAGAAACGACAACAGUUUUAUAAGUAGAAUCGUUGUAAUAGAAGAAAAUAAUGUUUUACUUUUACCGAUUGUCCGUGGUUUUAGGCUAAUUUAAAGUUCAGUUUUUAUCUGUUGUGCAUCCUGUGAAGUUUAUUACAAAAGUCUUGAUUUUGAUUUGUUUUCAGGCUGUGAAAACCCUUGCCAAAAGUCCCACUUUUGCUUUUGCUAGGGAUCCAAGACGACUACAGUUUGAAGUCGAUCUUAAUCGUUUGUUCCUCUAUACAAGGUAAGUGUUUUUUUUGUCGUCUGCAUUUAAAAUUCAAGGGUGCAUUAAACUAGUUAUACAUUGCUAAUUAUUACUCCCUCUGUGCCAAAACUCUAGUUGUUUAAGCAUUUUAGUUUUAUUUCAAAACUUUGUGUGUUUUAGAAACCCCAAGAUAUAUUUGACAUUUUUCUUCCAAAUAUACUCCUAAAUGUUGUUUACAAUAUUAUUUAUAAAUUUAUAAUGAGAUAUUUAUAGGUAUUUGUGAAGCAUUUAACUAGUACGAUAUUGACAUUUUGAUACUUAUAUACACACAUCAAUUAUAUGAUUCCUUAAGCUAUAAGCAAAUACCUUAAACAACUCAAGUUUUGGAAUGGAGGGAGUACCGACAAUGGUUGCAUACAAAAUGCCUGUUUUACACCCUCUACUUCUUGUGACCUAUUGUUAAUGUAUAGAAAUAGACUUGUCCUAGAUAGUGACCCUUCUAAGGAUACUACUAGUGAGAAAAUACUUGUUUCCUUCUGUUUAUUUAAUACAGCUUUUCUAAAGACUGUUAAUAAUAUUGGAAAGAGAUCCUGAAUGAUAGGAUUAUGCUGAUUAUGAUGUAAUCAGUAAAGUAAACAAAAUAUAAUAAAACAAUUAAGAAACAAAAUAAAAUCUGAUUAGGCUGCCGCUUUCUUUCUCUAUUAUUGCCACCUACAAAAGCAUCCACAUCAUCACUAUCUUAUCGGCUUUGAGCUUGUCCUCAAACCCUGGAUAAGCUUGUUGGAAGUGGUAUACCGGUUUCCAAAUGGCAUUUUCUUGAGGAUAUCCAGCUCAAUGCUCUUACAGCUCCUGUUUCCUGCUAUUGGUCCUACUGCAAAGAAUAGCAUGAGGAGUGGGUAAGGCUUUGCCGUUGUCAUGUAUGUGUGAUAAAUUUGGUAAUUCUCCUACAGCAGCUGGUUGGGAUCCUUCAUGCUCUUUAAGGAGAGGUGCAUCAAACACAUUCUGUUUUCUAUUGUCUGCAAGUAGCUAAAGCUUGUACACAAUAGAUCGUACGUUGGCUUGACACUUGACACUGAAAGGAAUAAAAUACUUUUGGAAGAAGUUUGAUGUUUUUGUUUAGCCAUUGUCGACUGGCAAUAUGAUUGAAAUUGUAGCUAUACCGAACCCCUAUCCGGUAAACUCAAUAUUGAAAAUAAUAAGUAGAAGUUGUUCUAUUUUAUUCCUCAGCCAAAAGCUGGCUUAUAUAGUGAGAAUAUAAUUAAUACAAUUAAUUCUCUCCUUAACGGAGAAUAAAGGUAAAUGAAUGACAAUAAACGGAAACAAUAAAAACGGAGAAACAAAAUAUUUUCCAACACCCCUCUUCAAGUUGGUGCAUAUAUAUCUAUCACGCCCAAUUUGUUUAUCAAAUGUUCGAAGGUAGGUCUUGUCAAACUUUUGGUCAGGAUAUCCGCAGUUUGCUGAUUUGAAGUAACGAAAGGUAGACAUAUGAUUCCAACAUCUAACUUCUUUAUGAAGUGUCGAUCAUUCUCAAUAUGCUUGGUUCUGUCAUGUUGAACUGGGUUAUGAGCUAUGCUAAUAGCAACUUUACUGUCAGAGUAUAAUUUCAAUGGAAGCUCAAUUUUCAUCUUAAGUCCUUUUAAGACUCUAAGGAUCCAUAAUCCUUCACAAAUACCUUGAGACAUAGCUCUAAACUCGACUUCUACAUUACUUCCUUGCUACAACUCCUUGUUUCUUGCUCCUCCAUGUGACAAGAUUACCCCAAACAUAGGUACAAUAUCCAGAAGUUGAUAUUCUAUCUGUGACUGAACCUGCGCAAUCAAUAUCGGUGAAGGUAGACACAUUUUUUUCACUAGUCUUCUUAAAAAAUAAGUCUUUUCCAAGAUUUCCCUUCAAGAUGUUCCUCUAAAGGAGAAUGUAUAAACUGACUUUCUACACUCACCGAGAAAGCAAUAUCAGGACGAGUGUGUGACAAAUAAAUCAGUUUAUCAAUCUUUGAUAUCUUUCAGUAUCAACAAGAACAUUACCUUCUCCCUAAAGUUUAACAUUAGGAUCCAUAAGGGUAUCUGCAGGACGACAUCCACUCAUUCCUGUUUCUUUCAAUAAGUCUAGAAUGUAUUUUUGUUAUGAAACCACAAUACCAUUCUUUGACCGAACAACCUUGAUACCUAGAAAAUAUCUCAUGAAUCCCAAGUCCUUGAUUUCAAAGUCUACUGCCAAUUUCUCUUUUACUCUUGCCAUUUCUGCUGUAUCGUCUUCAGUAAGGACAAUAUCAUCAACAUAAACAAUCAGGGCAACAUUUUUCCCAUCGCGGGAGAACUUUGUGAACAGGGCGUGGUCAACCUGUCCUUGGAUGUACCCUUGUUUCUUCAUGGAUUGAGUGAGUUUUUCAAACCAGGCUCUAGGAGACUGUUGUAAUCCAUACAAAGACUUAUUUAAUUUGUAUACAUUUGAUCCAACUUUGAUUUCAAAGUCAGGAGGAAUGUUCAUAUAUACUUCUUCUAGAUCGCCAUUAAGAAAGAUAUUCUUAACAUCUAAAUGAUGUAGAGGGACAAAUUCAGGUUAACAGCAAGAGAUAAAAGAAUUCUGACAGUGUUCAAUUUUGCAACAUGUGCAAAUGUGUUUUAGUAGUCUAUACCAUAGGUCUGAGUAAAGUCUUUAGCCACCAAGCGAGCCUUAUAUCUUUCAAUUGACUCAUCUGAAAUAUACUUCACAGUAAACACCCAU